UAAUACAGAGACCUCAAGCGUUAUCCGGAAUCAUUGGGCGUAAAGCGUACCGAUAGGUGGUUUUACAAGUCAGAGGUGAAAUCCCAAGGCUCAACUUUGGGACUGUCCUUUGAAACUGUACAACUAGAGGGGCAAAGAGGAAGCUGGAACGAACGGUGUAGUAGUGAAAUGCGUUGAUAUCGUUCGGAACACCAAUAGCGUAGGCAGGCUUCUGGGUGCCACCUGACACUGCUAGGACGAAAGCGUGGGGAGCGAAUGGGAUUAGAUACCCCAGUAGUCCACGCUGUAAACGAUGUACAUUCGGCGCUAGGGAGUAUCGACCCUUUUUAGUGCCAAAGCUAACGCGUUAAAUGUACCGCCUGGGGAGUACGGCCGCAAGGCUA
This 383-nucleotide ribosomal RNA is filed under the name uncultured bacterium. Its description in RNAcentral is "bacterial SSU rRNA". It matches the Rfam family "Bacterial small subunit ribosomal RNA", at positions 521 to 896 of the family's 1533-position model. The record is from RNAcentral.